RNAcentral lists this small RNA (3145 nucleotides) under Pan troglodytes (chimpanzee). RNAcentral describes it as "processed transcript". The record is from RNAcentral. Lineage: Eukaryota; Metazoa; Chordata; Mammalia; Primates; Hominidae.
GGGUAAAACAGGAAAUACAACAGAUGAUGAAGAAGAAGAGGAGGUGGAGGAAGAAGAAGAAGAUGAUGAUGAAGAUUCUGGAGCUGAAAUAGAAGAUGAUGAUGAAGAGGGUUUUGAUGAUGAAGAUGAGUUUGAUGAUGAACAUGAUGAUGAUCUUGAUACUGAGGAUAAUGAAUUGGAAGAAUUAGAAGAGAGGGCAGAAGCUAGAAAAAAAACUACUGAAAAACAGGUCUGCACCUGUUCAGCAUUUGGCAGGAUGGCAAGCGGAGGAGCAGCAGGGUGAAACUGACACAGUUCUGUCUGCAGCGGCUCUUUGUGUUGGAGUUGGGAGUUUCGCUGAUCCAGAUGACCUGCCGGGGCUGGCACACUUUUUGGAGCACAUGGUAUUCAUGGGUAGUUUGAAAUAUCCAGAUGAGAAUGGAUUUGAUGCCUUCCUGAAGAAGCAUGGGGGUAGUGAUAAUGCCUCAACUGAUUGUGAACGCACUGUCUUUCAGUUUGAUGUCCAGAGGAAGUACUUCAAGGAAGCCCUUGAUAGAUGGGCCCAGUUCUUCAUCCACCCACUAAUGAUCAGAGAUGCAAUUGACCGUGAAGUUGAAGCUGUUGAUAGUGAAUAUCAACUUGCAAGGCCUUCUGAUGCAAACAGAAAGGAAAUGUUGUUUGGAAGCCUUGCUAGACCUGGACAUCCUAUGGGAAAAUUUUUUUGGGGAAAUGCUGAGACGCUCAAGCAUGAGCCAAAAAAGAAUAAUAUUGAUACACAUGCUAGAUUGAGAGAAUUCUGGAUGCGUUACUACUCUUCUCAUUACAUGACUUUAGUGGUUCAAUCCAAAGAAACACUGGAUACUUUGGAAAAGUGGGUGACUGAAAUCUUCUCUCAGAUACCAAACAAUGGGUUACCCAGACCAAACUUUGGCCAUUUAACGGAUCCAUUUGACACACCAGCAUUUAACAAACUUUAUAGAGUUGUUCCAAUCAGAAAAAUUCAUGCUCUGACCAUCACAUGGGCACUUCCUCCUCAACAGCAACAUUACAGGGUGAAGCCACUUCAUUAUAUAUCCUGGCUGGUUGGACAUGAAGGCAAAGGCAGCAUUCUUUCUUUCCUUAGGAAAAAAUGCUGGGCUCUUGCACUGUUUGGUGGAAAUGGUGAGACAGGAUUUGAGCAAAAUUCUACUUAUUCAGUGUUCAGCAUUUCUAUUACAUUGACUGAUGAGGGUUAUGAACAUUUUUAUGAGGUUGCUUACGCUGUCUUUCAGUAUUUAAAAAUGCUGCAGAAGCUAGGCCCAGAAAAAAGAAUUUUUGAAGAGAUUCGGAAAAUUGAGGAUAAUGAAUUUCAUUACCAAGAACAGACAGAUCCAGUUGAGUAUGUGGAAAACAUGUGUGAGAACAUGCAGCUGUACCCAUUGCAGGACAUUCUCACUGGAGAUCAGCUUCUUUUUGAAUACAAGCCAGAAGUCAUUGGUGAAGCCUUGAAUCAGCUAGUUCCUCAAAAAGCAAAUCUUGUUUUACUGUCUGGUGCUAAUGAGGGAAAAUGUGACCUCAAGGAGAAAUGGUUUGGAACUCAAUAUAGUAUAGAAGAUAUUGAAAACUCUUGGGCUGAACUGUGGAAUAGUAAUUUCGAAUUAAAUCCAGAUCUUCAUCUUCCAGCUGAAAACAAGUACAUAGCCACGGACUUUACGUUGAAGGCUUUCGAUUGCCCGGAAACAGAAUACCCAGUUAAAAUUGUGAAUACUCCACAAGGUUGCCUGUGGUAUAAGAAAGACAACAAAUUCAAAAUCCCCAAAGCAUAUAUACGUUUCCAUCUAAUUUCACCCUUGAUACAGAAAUCUGCAGCAAAUGUGGUCCUCUUUGAUAUCUUUGUCAAUAUCCUUACGCAUAACCUUGCGGAACCAGCUUAUGAAGCAGAUGUGGCACAGCUGGAGUAUAAACUGGUAGCUGGAGAACAUGGUUUAAUUAUUCGAGUGAAAGGAUUUAACCACAAACUACCUCUACUGUUUCAGCUCAUUAUUGACUACUUAGCUGAGUUCAAUUCCACACCAGCUGUCUUUACAAUGAUAACUGAGCAGUUGAAGAAGACCUACUUUAACAUCCUCAUCAAGCCCGAGACUUUGGCCAAAGAUGUACGGCUUUUAAUCCUGGAAUAUGCCCGUUGGUCUAUGAUUGACAAGUACCAGGCUUUGAUGGACGGCCUUUCCCUUGAGUCUCUGCUGAGCUUCGUCAAAGAAUUCAAAUCCCAGCUCUUUGUGGAGGGCCUGGUACAAGGGAAUGUCACAAGCACAGAAUCUAUGGAUUUCCUGAAAUAUGUUGUUGACAAACUAAACUUCAAGCCUCUAGAGCAGGAGAUGCCUGUGCAGUUCCAGGUGGUAGAGCUGCCCAGUGGCCACCAUCUAUGCAAAGUGAAAGCUCUGAACAAGGGUGAUGCCAACUCUGAAGUCACUGUGUACUACCAGUCAGGUACCAGGAGUCUAAGAGAAUAUACGCUUAUGGAGCUGCUUGUGAUGCACAUGGAAGAACCUUGUUUUGACUUUCUUCGAACCAAGCAGACCCUUGGGUACCAUGUCUACCCUACCUGUAGGAACACAUCCGGGAUUCUAGGAUUUUCUGUCACUGUGGGGACUCAGGCAACCAAAUACAAUUCUGAAGUUGUUGAUAAGAAGAUAGAAGAGUUUCUUUCUAGCUUUGAGGAGAAGAUUGAGAACCUCACUGAAGAGGCAUUCAACACCCAGGUCACAGCUCUCAUCAAGCUGAAGGAGUGUGAGGAUACCCACCUUGGGGAGGAGGUGGAUAGGAACUGGAAUGAAGUGGUGACACAGCAGUACCUCUUUGACCGCCUUGCCCACGAGAUUGAAGCACUGAAGUCAUUCUCAAAAUCAGACCUGGUCAACUGGUUCAAGGCCCAUAGAGGGCCAGGAAGUAAAAUGCUCAGCGUUCAUGUUGUUGGAUAUGGGAAGUAUGAACUGGAAGAGGAUGGUACCCCUUCUAGUGAGGAUUCAAAUUCUUCUUGUGAAGUGAUGCAGCUGACCUACCUGCCAACCUCUCCUCUGCUGGCAGAUUGUAUCAUCCCCAUUACUGAUAUCAGGGCUUUCACAACAACACUCAACCUUCUCCCCUACCAUAAAAUAGUCAAAUAAACUGCAGUCGCGUUGGCCUG